Molecule: ribosomal RNA, 109 nt
Filed under: Carlito syrichta (Philippine tarsier)
Lineage: Eukaryota; Metazoa; Chordata; Mammalia; Primates; Tarsiidae
Source: RNAcentral
GUUAAUGGCCAUACCACCCUAAAUAUGUCCAAUCUCAUCGGACCUCAGAAGCUAAGCAAGAUCAGGUUGGUUAGUAGUUAGAUGGGAGAAAGACACACUUGUGCUGACC